AGCCGUCGCUCCUCCCGCACAGCCGCACUCGCGCCGUCCCCUUCCUCUUCCUCCCGCCUCGCCUCUCUCUCCUUCCAAACCCUAGGCCCGAGCCCGCCGCCGCUGCUCUGCCCGAGCCCGCCGCCGCUGCUUCCUCCUUACCCGCUGGCGCCCGGCCUCCUCCCCUCACGUCCUCCUCCUUCUACCCCCUCCCGCCCCGGCCCCGGCUCCCGCGGGAGGGAAGCAGGAAUGGCGAGGCGAGGCAAAGGCGGCGUAGGGGACACGGCGUGGCGCAGGUGGGUCGGCGCGGCCGCGGCUUCUCUUCUUAUCUCCCGGGAGUGGGCCGCAGCCAUGGAGAGCGGCCAGAGGAGCAAGGACGGCCAACCCCUGCCACCUAUCCAGCACGUGUUGGGGAUUGCGGGCAACGAUUGAAUCUGCAGACUGGUUCGCUCAAGGAUGACGAGGAGAUGGCCGGCUUCAGGGUGCAGCAGAAGGAGGAGGGGCACGCAGUGCCGGCCGGGCUGAUGCGGAGGGGGCUGCAAGCUCGACGUGAGAGCAGCGGCAGGGACAAGCUCAGCAGGCUCUUCUACUGCGCCUGCUAGACCUCGAGGUCCAUCUGCCCCUCCCCCCCUCUCCCUCCCUAGCGAUUUGGUUUGGUGUUCAUGGUGUUCCGCCCAACAAAUCACCAAAAGAAAUUAUAUACAUAUACAACACAUUUUUAGUAGCGACAGAUUAUUCCUAGGAUCAUGUAAAAAAAUUUAUUGCUAGGGUCAGCGGUGGGUUCGGCGGCCGCGGUCGGUGCUGCCGUCCUCUCCAGUGAGCUCCUUUGACCAGUGCCAUGAGAGCAAUUGCGCCGGUGCCUCUCGUGGACAGCGCGUGCAUCAGCAACCUUCUAAAGUCCUUCACAAAUCGCAUCGCAUCGCCGGCCCGAGUGACGGCCAUCCGGCUGUUCCCCUUUGCGGUGUGCUACGCCGUGUCCGCUGAAGCUGCAAUAUCUUCGGACGCCCGUGUUGUUGAGCGGAGGUUCCUCAUCCAGUAGCAGCAUCCGCGACUCUUAUCCAUAUACCAAAUAUAGUAGUAUCUAUGCACAUUUUCCCCUUUACCCUGCAUUUCUACGAGCAGGUGCAUAUCCCCCCAUUGCCUUACCAUCUCCUCUAUUUGAUUCCAGUCAAAAAUUGAUUCAUGGUCGCUCACACAUGAUAGUGCUAGAUGGAAUUCCCUAUGGAUUGCCAAUGCAGAUUACUAUGAUCCACUGUAAUUUUAGUGGUCGUUGGUUUCCGUACAAAAUUGGUUUAUUGCACGCAAGAUUUCAGACUUAAGCACAAGUCAAUGAAUCAUGUACAGCCUCAUGCGGCUGCUUCUACUUCGGGUAAUUUGCCCAAGCAAGGUUAAUCUAUAAAGCUAUGCUUUUCCUCAAAAAAAAGAAUUGGAUUGUCAGGAUUACACCAAACAGUUACUCUUGAUUAAUAGAGAUAAUGACUUUACUAAGACAAAUGUACGUGCACAUUUAUUAAAAACAAUCUUAAACAAUGAUGUUCAUAUUAAGUAGAAAUCUGGUGCUCGUGUCUAUCGUACUACAUCCUAAAUGAUUGGAUAUCCGCUAAUCAACGACUUCAAGUCCUUGAUACACCAGACUUCUGAAUGUCUUUUUUUCAGCGAUUCUUUAUCAACACAACUACUCCUUGUCCUAAGCCUUGAAUCAUUGUGCUCCUGGUUACCUUACUUUUCCAAUUCAUCCUCAUGCUGAAUGUUUACUGAUUUGUUAUCAACACCAGUGCAUUUGCGAGUUAUGACACAAAAUGGUCGUAGAGUUAGCUCAUGCAUUAGUUAGUUACUUCACUAGCUGUGCAUGGUGGGCGUGGCGUGAGCUUAAGAUUAGUUGGUAGUGGAGAUACUCUUGUAAUGGCUAUCUGCUAUUGGCUUUCUUAACCAUCAUCCUAUGCCUUCAUGUUUGUUAGGGACUUAUCUACUAUGAUACCAUAUACAUGCUUAUGGAAGGCACUCAACAGCAUAUUCUAGAAAAAAAUAGAGGUUUAUUAUCCAGGUAUAUUUAUCUACUAUUGUACUUGAGACCUGACAUUCAAAAGGAAAAUUUCAAUAUUAAUAGCUGAUAAAGAAACGCUCCACAGUUAGUCGAUACACAUGUACCAAUCUGGAGUUAGUAUACAUGCUUGAGAUAUGGUCCUAUUGUUAGUUUGGUUUGCUAUUGAGUACAUUGGUUAUAAUUAGAAUUGCAAUAGUUUCGUUAUAGGAUCUAAGGGACAUUUAGAAGUUUGGCAAAAGACGUCAUCUACUCAUGAAUAAUCUCAUCAUCUGAAAAUGGAUUCAGAGUUAGGCCACUUACACAUCAUGGUAAACCUCCUGGUUCCCAUUUUGUCUGUAUUUUUAAAGGGGUGCUAAAAUCCUGGAUGGUCAUUGGAUAGUGGAUUAGCAUCAGUGCUUAACUAAGUCCCUGGAAAUUUGGAUAAGCAGUUUUUCUUUGAAGUGUAUAUGGUUCUAGACUUUCUUUUUGUGGUAAAGGCAGAAUCUUGGAUGAUCAUUGGACAGUGGAUUAGCGUUAGUGCUUAAAUAAGUCCCGAGAAAUCUGGAUGAACAAUUUUUCUUUAAAUGUAUAUGGUUCUACUGGUAAUCAUUAAUCUGUAACCUUGUGCUUGCUUGUGACCAGUAAGGUUGUGACGGGUUGUCAUCCCAUGGUUUUUCUGCAGCACCGUCACUGCCGUCCUUAACAUACAGAAGAAGUUCGUUCCAAGCUUCAAGACUCUAGGGUCAAUUCCAUAGAAGGUAAUUUCCUUUGAUAUUGGUAUUGUUGACAUUUGGUUUUUCCGGCUUCUGGUUGCCGUUAUACUUUGUUUAUCAUGCUUUUGUUUGUAUUUAAAUUUGCCUAAAGAUAUGUUCAAGUUCAUACCUGCAGUUCAAUAGCUAUUGCCUGAAAUCUGCUUUCUACCUGUGCUUUUUAAGUAUAUAUGCCUAUACAGUGUCCUCUAUUGCUUUCUUAAAUUCUGGAGUCUGCUAUGUAAUGAUGGCAUCGGCAGAUUUUGUUGCAGGCAGUACUGAAAAGUAAAUAUAUUGAACAGAUCAAAUUGCAAGAUUAGUUAGCUUUCCUCCUUAUUACAUUUUCUCUUACAUUUUCAAUGCUUUGUCUACCAUGCUUUCUCAUGUCCCUGGUGCCUUUUUUGUUUGAUAUGAAGUAAAUUUGCACACUGGAUGGGGCGACCAGGUUGUGGCAACUUGGCGGCAUGGCUAAUGAAUAAAGAAAAUAGCAAUAACUGAUUGAUUUUAGAUCUCAUGUGCCUGCAAAUCUUCUGUUCUUGCCGUUUAUGUGCUGGAUCUGUUGUUGCAUUCGUCGAUCUGUUGUUGGUUCUUAAUUUAGUCUGGUAAAGAGUAAGUUGCACUUUGUCGGUCCAUUUGGGUUAUGGAUUUUUUUUAUUAUGAUGGCGAGACACACCUAUGGUGAGAUUCUAUUUCGAUGAUGAUGUGCACUCUUCACACCUCGCUUUGAAUUGGCACGAGAAGAUCGUUCUAGAUUGGAAUCCAUAUAACUUUGAGAAGGUCAAUGUCUGUUGUCUUUCUCUCUCUGACUGCCUCCUCCCAUUGACUUGGCAUGCUGGUCACCGCCGUGUCUCCUGCUGGCUUGCCCCUCGCCCUCGUCGGGAGGGUUGUGUGGGCCGUCCUACAUUUUAAUCCACAUAACUUUGAAAAGGUCGCCACCAUGCCGACUCUCUCUCUCUCUCUCUUUCUCUCUCUCUCUCUCCUCUCUCUCUCUCUCUCCUCUCUCUCUCUCUCUCUCUCUCUCUAACAGCCCCUCCCGUUGUCUUGGUUUGCUGGUUGCUGUUGUGUCUCCCGCCGGUUCGCCCGUUGCCAUCACUGGAAGGGUUGUGUAGUCCGCCGCUCAUGCCAGUACUCUGUAGUGACCAGUGAGGACCAUGGCAUCGAGAUAGCCCAAAAGGAAACACCGCCGGCUAUAGCACCGGUUGAGGCCACCCUGUCUGUCAGCCCACAACAGUUUCUUCAUCUGACGAAGAAUUUAUGGUGGAUGAUAUCACUCUGGGAGGAAUUAUCAGGCACACAACCAGCGAGCGGUGGCAGAAGCAACUUCUCCCUUGAACUACAUGCCAGGCCAACUUUAUUCUAAGAGGCUCCAAAAUCUGAAGAAAGAUGUGGCUAUGCAGGAUGCCAAGCAUCGCAAGACUAAGGUGGCUAACACAAUGGAGCUGGAACAUCGACCUUUUGUUUCGUAUCGCCCAAGCCAGCAUGUUUGCCCUUUUGAUGUUCUUCUGAACAGGAAAUGUAUAACGUUUAGAUUCCCGUUGUCGUCUUUGUAAUGGAAGGUAGCACCUGGUGGCAUGUUGCUAUUUUCACUUUGCUUUGAACAAGACAUUGAUAGACUUUAGAUAUUGAUUCUAUCUCUCUAUCGUAGAAAGUAAUGUAUGGUAUUGUGUUUUAUCUCUAUUCAAAUGAAAGCACCGAGCUUGAUUCUGUCU
Triticum aestivum (bread wheat) is the source of this 4460-nucleotide long non-coding RNA. RefSeq lists it as uncharacterized. The record is from RefSeq and is a predicted model, not a curated record. The transcript is spliced from 6 exons. NCBI's taxonomy places the organism in Eukaryota, Viridiplantae, Streptophyta, Magnoliopsida, Poales, Poaceae.